This 113-nucleotide non-coding RNA is filed under the name uncultured Clostridium sp. RNAcentral describes it as "FMN riboswitch (RFN element)". It matches the Rfam family "FMN riboswitch aptamer (RFN element)". From Rfam's summary of the family: The RFN element is a highly conserved domain that is found frequently in the 5'-untranslated regions of prokaryotic mRNAs that encode for flavin mononucleotide (FMN) biosynthesis and transport proteins. This element is a metabolite-dependent riboswitch that directly binds FMN in the absence of proteins. Lineage: Bacteria; Bacillati; Bacillota; Clostridia; Eubacteriales; Clostridiaceae. The record is from RNAcentral.
UGUCUUCAGGGCAGGGUGAAAUUCCCUACCGGCGGUAAAGCCCGCGAGCCAUAAUUAUGGCAUGAUUCGGUGAAACUCCGAAGCCGACAGUAUAGUCUGGAUGGAAGAAGAUA